This 455-nucleotide long non-coding RNA is filed under the name Marmota monax (woodchuck). Lineage: Eukaryota; Metazoa; Chordata; Mammalia; Rodentia; Sciuridae. The record is from RNAcentral.
CUGAGCUACACCCCCAGAUUAUUUUAUGUAUUCUUGAUGGUCUUAUAUUUGGGAGUUCUUAUAGACUUGGAGAAAGACUGCAUCUCCCAAGUUAGCUCUUUCUUGAAGAUUUAAAGAGAUUGGCUGGGAUUAUGUCUUUCAUAUACAAAUAAACUGAUUUCAUGCCUAUAGUCACUAUCACCCCUUUAUCUAACUUUCAUACAUCAAGACAAUAUUUACCCUUCCCUAAAUCAUCCCAGGUCCAGGUUCCAGGAAACUAGAGACCACUGUGAUAGCCCACAGCUCAUUGGUAUUAUUCAAGCUAGUCAGUCCCAAUCCAUGUUGUCUGCUCUGCCUUCGUUUUCUAUGGAAACUCCAAUAAACACUGUGGACUAGACUGUUUUCUUCAUCCUGACCAACACUGGUGAUUCCUAUGACUCUGUAUGACAUGUAAUGACUUCCUCUCUAGAACCUGU